UAUAGCCAAGAUUAUAUAUUAUCAAGGAUGUGAUCCUUUAUAGCAGAAUCAUUAUCCUUGAUAGCAAAACAAGAAUUUAUUGAAAUUUAAAGUGCUUAUUUCUCAAUUGCAUCUAAGUUCUUGCCAGAUCAAUGUGAAACAAGGUUUUGGACUCAAUAGUCUUGUUUUCUAGUAUCAUGAUGUGUGGUGUAUGAGAGUUUAAUUUGUUUCAGUUUUGACC
This 220-nucleotide unclassified non-coding RNA is filed under the name Hevea brasiliensis (rubber tree). Lineage: Eukaryota; Viridiplantae; Streptophyta; Magnoliopsida; Malpighiales; Euphorbiaceae. The record is from RNAcentral.